Small nucleolar RNA from Meleagris gallopavo (turkey), 82 nucleotides. Its record names the gene SNORD79. It matches the Rfam family "Small nucleolar RNA SNORD79". Rfam says of the family: snoRNA U79 or Z22 is found in intron 7 of the gas5 gene in humans and is also present in mice. U79 is a member of the C/D class of snoRNA which contain C (UGAUGA) and D (CUGA) box motifs. NCBI's taxonomy places the organism in Eukaryota, Metazoa, Chordata, Aves, Galliformes, Phasianidae. The record is from Ensembl.
UACUGUUCAUGAUGAUUAUUAGUUCUAAGCAAUGGGAAUCUCUCUGAAAGAGACUGAGGAGGACUCUUGAUCUGAAACAGUA